GAGUAGCGUGGACAUGUAGGCAAAUCCGCAUGUUUAAAUGUGAGACCUGAUGGGGAAGUGUCCAAGGGACAUAAGUCACAGAUCCUGCACUGCCGAGAAAAACUUCUAUCGAUGAGAAAUAGUGCCCGUACUGUAAACCGACACAGGUGGACAGAGUGAGAAACUUAAGGCCGACAGGAUAACUCUAGCUAAGGAACUCUGCAAAAUAGCCCCGUAACUUCGGGAGAAGGGGUGCCUGAUAUACCUGAGAGGAGAGACACCUUAAGGGGAAACAGGCCGCAGUGAAGAGUCCCAAGCAACUGUUUACCAAAAACACAGGUCUAUGCUAAGCUGAAAGGCGACGUAUAUGGGCUGACACCUGCCCAGUGCCGGAAGGUUAAGGGGAGGACUGAGAGGUCCGAGCUGAAGCCCCGGUGAACGGCGGCCGUAACUAUAACGGUCCUAAGGUAGCGAAAUUCCUUGUCGGGUAAGUUCCGACCUGCACGAAUGGUGAAAUGAUUUGGGAGCUGUCUUGGCUGGAGACCUGGUGAAGUUGUAAUGCCGGUGAAGAUACCGGCUACCUGCAGUAGGACGGAAAGACCCCGUGGAGCUUUACUGUAGCUUGGCAUUGGGUUUUGGCAAUGUGUGUAUAGGAUAGUUGGGAGACUGUGAAGCAACGGCGUCAGCUGUUGCAGAGUCGCUGUUGGAAUACCAACCAUAUGCUGCUGAAAUUCUAAUCUGGAAACGGAGACAGUGCUAGGUGGGCAGUUUGACUGGGGCGGUCGCCUCCAAAAGAGUAACGGAGGCGUUCAAAGGUUCCCUCAGGCUGGAUGGAAAUCAGCCUAGGAGUGCAAACGCAUAAGGGAGCUUGACUGCAAGACUGACGGGUCGAGCAGGUACGAAAGUAGGAGUUAGUGAUCCGGCGGUUCCGUAUGGAAGGACCGUCGCUCAACGGAUAAAAGCUACCCCGGGGAUAACAGGCUGAUACUUCCCAAGAGUCCAUAUCGACGGAAGUGUUUGGCACCUCGAUGUCGGCUCGUCUCAUCCUGGGGCUGGAGAAGGUCCCAAGGGUUGGGCUGUUCGCCCAUUAAAGAGGCACGCGAGCUGGGUUCAGAACGUCGUGAGACAGUUCGGUCCCUAUCCACUGCAGGCGUCAGAAUAUUGAAGGGCUCUGUCCUUAGUACGAGAGGACCGGGAUGGACGGACCACUGAUGUACCGGUUGUCACGCCAGUGGCAUAGCCGGGUAGUCACGUCCGGAAGGGAUAACCGCUGAAAGCAUCUAAGCGGGAAGCCUGCCCUGAGAUGAAUGUUCUUUCAAGCAUCCGCCGAGAACAGGCGGUGAUAGGCCGGAGGUGCAAGCAUGGUAACAUGUUCAGCUGACCGGUACUAAUAAAUGCGUAAGCUUACUUU
This 1390-nucleotide ribosomal RNA is filed under the name human oral metagenome. Its description in RNAcentral is "bacterial LSU rRNA". It matches the Rfam family "Bacterial large subunit ribosomal RNA", at positions 1518 to 2925 of the family's 2925-position model. The record is from RNAcentral.